Long non-coding RNA from Sinocyclocheilus grahami, 271 nucleotides. RefSeq lists it as uncharacterized. The transcript is spliced from 3 exons. Lineage: Eukaryota; Metazoa; Chordata; Actinopteri; Cypriniformes; Cyprinidae. The record is from RefSeq and is a predicted model, not a curated record.
CUUUUAAACGUCACUGCUGUCAGCGCGGGAGAUGUGAGUGAGUGUGGCGCUGAAUACUGAGAAUUACCGCCAAGCUAAAGCUAUCAUCAUGCCAUGUGAAAGGAAGCCCAUGCGUUACGGUCACUCAGAAGGCCACACUGAUGUCUGCUUUGACGAUGAGGGAAAGUGUAUUGUGACCUGUGGGAGUGACGGUGAUGUCCGCAUUUGGGAAAGUCUAGAUGAUGACGAUCCCAAGUCCAUAAAUGUUGGAGAGAAGGUCUAUUCUGUAGCC